AACGAACGCUGGCGGCAUGCCUAACACAUGCAAGUCGAACGAGACCUUCGGGUCUCGUUUCGCACGGGUGCGUAACGCAUUGGCACCUGCCCUUAGGAUCGGAAUAACUUCCCGAAACGGGUGCUAAUACCGGAUAAUGUCUUCGGACCAAGGAUUGAUCGCCCUUGGAUGGGCCGGCGUUGGUUUAGCUAGUUGGUAGGGUAAAAGCCUACCAAGGCGACGACCCAUAGCUGGUCAGAGAGGAUGAUCAGCCACACUGGGACUGAGACACGGCACAAACUCCUACGGGAGGAAGCAGUGGGGAAUAUUGGUGGAUGGGCGAAAGCCUGAUCCAGCAAUGCCGCGUGAGUGAUGAAGGUUUUAGGCUUGUAAAGCUCUUUUACCCGGGAUGAUAAUGACAGUACCGGGAGAAUAAGCACCGGCUAACUCCGUG
RNAcentral lists this ribosomal RNA (433 nucleotides) under uncultured bacterium. RNAcentral's name for it is "partial 16S ribosomal RNA". It matches the Rfam family "Bacterial small subunit ribosomal RNA", at positions 29 to 507 of the family's 1533-position model. The record is from RNAcentral.